GGAGAACGUGCCCUUAAGUGGAGGAUAAUCUCGGGAAAUUGAGGAUAAUACUCCAUAGAUCAUGGGAUCUGGAAUGACCCAUGGUUGAAAGUUCCGGCGCUUAAGGAUCGCUCUGCGGCUUAUCAGGUUGUAGUGGGUGUAACGUACCCCCUAGCCAGUGACGAGUAUGGGCCUUGAGAGAGGGAGCCCAGAGUUGGAUUCUGAGACACGAAUCCAGGCCCUACGGGGCGCAGCAGUCGCGAAAACUUCACACUGGGGGCAACCCCGAUGAGGGAAUUCCUAGUGCUAGGACAUUUGUUCUAGCUUUUCUCUAGCGUAGAUAACUAGAGGAAUAAGGGCUGGGUAAGACGGGUGCCAGCCGCCGCGGUAAUACCUGCAGCCCAAGUGGUGGUCGAUUUUAUUGAGUCUAAAGCGUUCGUAGCCGGUUUGAUAAAUCCUUGGGUAAAUCGGGAAGCUUAACUUUCCGACUUCCGAGGAGACUGUCAAACUUGGGACCGGGAGAGGCUAGAGGUACUUCUGGGGUAGGGGUAAAAUCCUGUAAUCCUUGGAGGACCACCGGUGGCGAAGGCGUCUUACUAGAACGAAUCCGACGGUGAGGGACGAAGCCCUAGGUCGCAAACGGGAUUAGAUACCCCGGUAGUCUAGGGUGUAAACGCUGCAGACUUGGUGUUGGAGGCCCUUCGGGGGCAUUCAGUGCCGGAGAGAAGUUGUUAAGUCUGCUACUUGGGGAGUACGUCCGCAAGGAUGAAACUUAA
This 755-nucleotide ribosomal RNA is filed under the name uncultured archaeon. RNAcentral describes it as "bacterial SSU rRNA". It matches the Rfam family "Archaeal small subunit ribosomal RNA", at positions 102 to 859 of the family's 1478-position model. The record is from RNAcentral.